This 303-nucleotide long non-coding RNA is filed under the name Homo sapiens (human). RNAcentral's name for it is "non-protein coding lnc-IFT46-1:7". The record is from RNAcentral. Lineage: Eukaryota; Metazoa; Chordata; Mammalia; Primates; Hominidae.
ACCUUGCUGUCGUAAUACUUUUCCCGCUUGUCAGUCUGGAUGGAGCGGAUGACGUUGCCGGCAUACUCAAUCACCAUCUCACCUGCAUCAAUGUUUCUCUUACAGAAAAGACCCCGGCCAUGGAUGGGAGACCUAGGACAAAGAUGGAAAAGAGAAUCAACUCUGCCUUAGGCGAACAAUUUACCAUAAUAUUCUGAGACAGGAGUGGAAUAACACCUCCAGCCAUUACCUGCAAAUGAGAGCUGCUUUAGGCGGGCAUUUGAUCGAGCUUCCUGGACUUUAUCUGUCAAUGACUUCCAGGCA